This 1944-nucleotide long non-coding RNA is filed under the name Homo sapiens (human). RNAcentral describes it as "non-protein coding ZNF528-AS1:13". Lineage: Eukaryota; Metazoa; Chordata; Mammalia; Primates; Hominidae. The record is from RNAcentral.
CUGCGCUUCCGUUCGCUUGACUGGCUGCGCUUGUUUUCAGGGUUUUGGUCUGAAAACGGAUCUUACCUGCGCAGAGCAAAAUCGGUUGUAGAUUAUAUCCACGAAAAUUCCUUCUAUUAAAAUGAAUUUCAAGUCCCACCUACCCUGGAAGCAGAAAGAGAGAGAAGAGAGAGAGUAAAGAGAAAGAGAAAAGAAAGAGAAGUUGAAAAAGAGAAAGAAAACCAAGAAAGAAAGAGAAAAAAACCGAAAAUAAAUGGACAAGAAAGAAAAGCUCAUAAACAGAAGAGACUUGCUUGUCUCAGAUGAAACUUUGGACUGUGGACUUUUGAGUUAAUGCUGAAAUAAGACUUUGGGGGACUGUUGGGGAGGCAUGAUUGGUUUUGAAAUGUGAGGACAUGAGAUUUGGGAGGGACCAGGGGCAAAAUGAUAUGGUUUGGCUGUGUCCCCACCAAAUCUCAUCUUGAAUUGCAGCUCCCAUGAUCCCCACAUGUGGGAGGGACCCGGGGGGAGGUAACUGAAUCAUGGGGGUGGGAUUUUCCCAUGCUGUUCUCAUGAUAGUGAAUAAAUCUCAUGAGAUCUUAUGGUUUUAUAAAGGGCAGUUUCCCUGCACGGGCUCUCUCUUGCCCGCCACCACGUAAGACAUGUGUUUGCUCCUCCUUCACCUUCUGCCAUGAUUGUGAGGUCUCUCUAGCCGUGUGAAACUGUGAGUCCAUUAAACUUCUUUUUCUUUAUAAAUUACCUAGUCUUGUGUAUGUCUGUAUUAGCAGCAUGAGAACAGACUAAUACAACAUCCCAGGCUGCUCACCUAUCCCUGUUCUCCAAUUUGGACCAGCUGGGGAAGUCCAUCCUGCUUUCCCCAGAAAGCCUCAUGUAAAUGUUUAUGUAGUAAACAUUUGCAGACCAUAUCAGUGUAUGGCAUCAUCAUUCUCAAUAUAUAAUACAAACUUUAGGUGGACUUCAAACAAAUUCCAGUACAGCAGUCAAAAGUUCAAAUUAUCGGUCAAGCAUGGUGGCUCACACCUGUAAUCUCAGUACUUUGGGAGGCUGAGGCGGGUGGAUCACGAGGUCAAGAGAUCAAGACCAUCCCGGCCAACAUGGUGAAACCCUGUCUCUAUUAAAAAUACAAAAAUUAGCUGGGCGUGGUGGUGCACGCUUGUAGUCCCAGGUACUCAUGAGGCUGAGGCAGCCGUUUGAACCCGGGAGGCAGAGGUUGCCAUGAGCCAAGAUCGCGCCACUGCACUCCAGCCUGGUGACAGAGACUCUGCCUAAAAAAAAAAAAAAAAAAAAAAAAGUUCAAAUUGCCAAAAAUGUUGUAAGGGGAAGUAUAUGAAGUUUCUAGUUAAUCUACAAAAGCAAAAAAAACUCCCAUUCUAUGUGACCAUUCUUAAAAUUUAUGGGCCAGGCGCAGUGGCUCACACCUGUAAUCCCCGCACUUUGGGAGUCCGAGGCGGGUGGAUCACAAGGUCAGGAGUUUGAGACCAGCCUAGCCAAUAUGGUGAAACCUUGUCUCUACUAAAAAUACAAAAAUUAGCCGGGCGUGGUGGUGCGCGCCUGUAGUCACAGUUAUUUGGGAGGCUGAAGCAGAAGAAUUGCUUCAACCUGGGAGGUGGAGGUUGCAGUGAGCCGAGAUCGUGCCACUGCACUCCAGACUCUGUCUCAAAAAAAAAAAAAAAAAGAAAAUUUAUGAACAUUAAUAUUUUCCACUUACGUCACUGAGCACUACUAGGAAAAAAAAAAAAGACAUGCACUACUAGGAAAAAAAAGACAUUGUGGUACAGUAUUUUCACUCUUAUUAACAUACUUUCUUUCAUUUAAUAGUAUUUGUCGCCAGGCACAGUGGCUCACGCCUGUAAUCCUAGCACUUUGGGAGGCCGAGGCAGGCAGAUUGCCUGAGUUCAGGAGUUCGAGAACAGCCUGGGCAACAUGGUGAAACCCCGUCUCUAA